GAUGAACGCUGGCGGCGUGCCUAAUACAUGCAAGUCGAGCGAACAGACGAGGAGCUUGCUCCUCUGACGUUAGCGGCGGACGGGUGAGUAACACGUGGAUAACCUACCUAUAAGACUGGGAUAACUUCGGGAAACCGGAGCUAAUACCGGAUAAUAUAUUGAACCGCAUGGUUCAAUAGUGAAAGACGGUUUUGCUGUCACUUAUAGAUGGAUCCGCGCCGCAUUAGCUAGUUGGUAAGGUAACGGCUUACCAAGGCGACGAUGCGUAGCCGACCUGAGAGGGUGAUCGGCCACACUGGAACUGAGACACGGUCCAGACUCCUACGGGAGGCAGCAGUAGGGAAUCUUCCGCAAUGGGCGAAAGCUUGACGGAGCAACGCCGCGUGAGUGAUGAAGGUCUUCGGAUCGUAAAUCUCUGUUAUUAGGGAAGAACAAAUGUGUAAGUAACUAUGCACGUCUUGACGGUACCUAAUCAGAAAGCCACGGCUAACUACGUG
RNAcentral lists this ribosomal RNA (497 nucleotides) under uncultured bacterium. RNAcentral describes it as "partial 16S ribosomal RNA". It matches the Rfam family "Bacterial small subunit ribosomal RNA", at positions 28 to 507 of the family's 1533-position model. The record is from RNAcentral.